AAUUGAGAGAUCCCAGAUUGCAUCCCAAUUGUUAACUAAGCUCUGGAGCCAACCAUUGAGAACAGAGGCAAGACAGCUCUCAAAUGGUAGUGGUUAGAGCUGCACAAAAAAUGGCAGGAAUGAAACACAGCUUUUGAAGACUAAAAUGCUGUUAUGUACUCUGAAUGCACUUCAUUGGAAAACUGCAUGACAACACAGCUGGAUGAAUGGCUCGCCUUCCACCCUAGGACAAAAGCAAUCAGAAGGAUAAUGGAAUGCCUUCUCUAGCCAGAAUGUGCCUUACACAGAAGCCUCAUUAUAUAUAUUCAGGUGUCUUUAUAACUGUGGGCCUUGGCACAAAGUCACAAAGGAGGUACAAGCUGCUCCUUAGAAAGGCCUGGUGCAUCAGCCCAUCCAUAUGUGCAAAGACAAAUAUUGGCUGGGUGAUGCUCUGAGCAGGAUAUAAAAGUGCUCUUCUCAGCUUUGGUAUGAGUGACAUGCCUACUAAUGAUCUCAUAGGCCAGGUGUGGUCUUCAUGUCAUAAACUUUCAAAUGGCCCAGAACCUCAAGGGACAUGCUACCUUAUCUAGACAGCUGGAAAAGGACUAGGGGUCCAUUUGGAAGGAUCCACCGACAACAGUUCCCAUUGCAGUGCAGGAUUAAGCUGGAUAAGCAGCUAAGACAAGAGGCUUACUUCCCAAGUCCUCUUGCCUCAACCCUACCACAGCUUUGUCUCAGCAAAAAGAAGGGCACCACAGCAGCUUGCAAGCAGCCUGCAGCCACCCCAGCACAGCACUCCUUCCAUCAGGAUGAACAUUGCUCCCUCAUCCACCUAGCUCCUGCGUAGAUGACACUCUUAAUUUGACAAAGUGCUUGGCUGCAUGAGACCAUUCACACAGCCACUGUUGUUGUAUAAACUAUAAGCAUCUGCUAAAAUCUCCUCAGAACCAUUUGCAGGUGUAUGUACCCAGAAGCACCACAACUGAGAAAAAAUGAAGAACUGUUACUAUUGAUUAUUUUAUUCCACAUCCUACAGAGACCUCAGCUCUCCCACUUCUCAGUUUAAUACAUUCUGCCACGUUAAACUUGAUUUCAUUAACUGCAGAUGAAAUUCUGCUGGCUUGCAGACAUAAGCAUCAGUGAAGCCAAACAGAGCAUUGUUGCCACACUUUGAUAGUAGGAAAGCUUGAACAUCUGGCUGCCUGAGGGAAAGAUGAUCUCAAGAACAGGGGACAAAGUCUGCAUGAGUGAUUUCUGGCCUUGGGCCGAGGUGCUGGACCUUCCACCAUGUCACAAAUCUUCCUUGACUAAGUAUCUCAUUUGCAGAAGCUACUUAGCUGUGUUGAACUACCCAAUCAGGUGGUGAUUCUGGCUGAGAUGGACACCAAGGCACCAGCAGAAACCCAGGAGUACAGUAAGAGUCCUGCUAUGACACUGGUGGGGAGAAUCUCUGUGCAGAAAGAGCCCAAAACAUAAGGGAAGAUUUGAUUACAGGGGAGAGGACUAUAUCUAACUCUGCAGACAAGUAUCCCAGAAAAAGAGCCACCCCCACAUCCUCUGUCCCUCACUCAAUUUUAUGCCAACCUAGUAUGCUUUAAUUUGGGUUGAAAAGUUUCACGGAUGAAUUUCAACAGCCAGACUUCCCUCUGUCACCAUUCAUACCAUGAGGAUGGAUAGAAAAAAUCUCUGCCUUUCCGAGAGUUGCACUGGGGCUUACUUUGAAUCAUUUAAACAAAGGAUCCUCAUAUUACUCCUUGUGGUGGGAGGCUUAUCAGGCUAGAUGAAACUACAUGGUUUUGUUCUGAAAAUUAAUAUUGGAUGUUUCAUACUGAAACCUUACUAAAAUGAAAAUGCAUCAAAUAUUCAAUACCCAUGUACUGCAGACAGAUAUCUGCUUGUGUACAAAAUGCAUAUUGAUCUAAUCUAAAAAUGGCAGCUCAUUAUCAAAAUGGGAUCCAAGUUUAAGUCAUUAAAAAUACAGCUGGAAAUGGCAAUUUCUGAGAAAAGUAGAUUCUUGUAUGACAUCUUUCCCACCCCCAAAUA
This is a long non-coding RNA of Melopsittacus undulatus (budgerigar), 2022 nucleotides long. RefSeq lists it as uncharacterized. The record is from RefSeq and is a predicted model, not a curated record. Lineage: Eukaryota; Metazoa; Chordata; Aves; Psittaciformes; Psittaculidae. The transcript has 3 exons.